Long non-coding RNA from Culex quinquefasciatus (southern house mosquito), 480 nucleotides. RefSeq lists it as uncharacterized. The record is from RefSeq and is a predicted model, not a curated record. Lineage: Eukaryota; Metazoa; Arthropoda; Insecta; Diptera; Culicidae. The transcript has 2 exons.
AACGGCCGGACACAUGAUGCGCGUUUACAAAUUCCAAGCUAUUCGCGUGAAAUAUAAAGAAAAACGCAGUAUAAAGUGUACUACUCGAUGCGUCGGUUCGGAGUGAGUACGAGAAUGGUGAAGAUUUUUGUUAAAUACGAUGGAAAGUGCAUUUUAUUUCAAAGUGAAAAGUGUUUUCGGAGCUUGUGGAGCAUAAAUUCCAAUAUGGCGGUACAGAAGUGGUGGGCUUCUGCCCUCAAUCGGCUUUUGCCGAAGUGUGUAUUGUUAUGAAAUGUGAUCAACUGGAAGAUUUGCGGUGUGUCGCAUUUAAUUGCAUAGAGGUGAUGUUGUGUGGAAGCUGCACACAGUUGACUCCGCGAGCCUUGUGAGGCGUUCAAUGACAGGAGUGAAACUGAAAUCCAGGCGGUUGAGGAUUGACUGACGUCGUCAGCUCAGUUGAUAUUGAUGCAUCCGAUUCGAUGCUGCGGUGGCAGAUGAGGA